UACAGAGGCCUCGAGCGUUAAUCGGAGUCACUGGGCUUAAAGGGUGCGUAGGCGGGUCCGCAAGUGCCUUGUGAAAUCCCACGGCUCAACCGUGGAAUGGCUCGGCAGACUGCGGGUCUUGAGGUCGGUAGGGGUCGCUGGAACUCUAGGUGGAGCGGUGAAAUGCGUAGAUAUCUAGAGGAACGCCAAAGGUGAAGACAAGCGACUGGGCCGAUUCAGACGCUGAGGCACGAAAGCGUGGGGAGCGAACGGG
RNAcentral lists this ribosomal RNA (253 nucleotides) under uncultured bacterium. RNAcentral's name for it is "partial 16S ribosomal RNA". It matches the Rfam family "Bacterial small subunit ribosomal RNA", at positions 524 to 776 of the family's 1533-position model. The record is from RNAcentral.